UCUCUGGUGGUCUAGUGGUUAGGAUUUGGUGCUUUUAUUGCUGUGGCCCAGGUUCAGGCCCUGGUCUGGGAA
Molecule: transfer RNA, 72 nt
Filed under: Sus scrofa (pig)
Lineage: Eukaryota; Metazoa; Chordata; Mammalia; Artiodactyla; Suidae
Rfam family: tRNA
About the family: Transfer RNA (tRNA) molecules are approximately 80 nucleotides in length. Their secondary structure includes four short double-helical elements and three loops (D, anti-codon, and T loops).
Source: Rfam by way of RNAcentral